RNAcentral lists this RNase P RNA (412 nucleotides) under Paenibacillus macquariensis subsp. macquariensis. Its description in RNAcentral is "RNase P RNA component class A". It matches the Rfam family "Bacterial RNase P class A". Rfam says of the family: Ribonuclease P (RNase P) is a ubiquitous endoribonuclease, found in archaea, bacteria and eukarya as well as chloroplasts and mitochondria. Its best characterised activity is the generation of mature 5'-ends of tRNAs by cleaving the 5'-leader elements of precursor-tRNAs. Cellular RNase Ps are ribonucleoproteins. Lineage: Bacteria; Bacillati; Bacillota; Bacilli; Caryophanales; Paenibacillaceae. RNAcentral also lists the same sequence under 1 other name. The record is from RNAcentral.
AAAGUUUGACAGACAAUCGCUGGUGAUGCUUAAGGCAUCACGAGAGGAAAGUCCGGGCUCCAUAGGGCAGGGUGCUGGAUAACGUCCAGUCAGCGCGAGUUGAAGGAUAGUGCCACAGAAAUGGACCGCCGAUGGCUGCGCAAGCAGCACAGGCAAGGAUGGAACCGAGGUGUAAGAGACCCCGAGGAACGCUGGUGACUUCGUUCCUGGUAAACCCCACUUGGAGCAAGACCUAAUGGAACGCAGCUUCUCUGUGCAAGGAGAGCAGCCUUAGCCCGAGGCGCGUUUAGGUUGGUCGCUGGAGCCGCUCAGCAAUGUUCGGCCUAGAUAGAUGAUUGUCGUUUGGAGUGGGAGGGUUGUUCCCGUAUGAACCACAAUAGACACAGAACCCGGCUUACGGCAGACUUUCAGA